GUCGGAGGAAUUGUAUUGAUAGUAGGUUUCACGCGAUAGUAAUGAAUAUCGUGCUGGAUGGAUGACUGGGGAGGGACCAAGACACACAAGAGGCGAAGAAGGAAAUAAAAUUGGGAAGUGGCCCUAGUAGGCAAGCUAAGGGGGAAAGAUGUAGAGAGACGUCUAAAUAUAGGUGGGGGUGGGAAUUAGGGUUAGGGAUUGGGUAGUGGCAAAAAGAAAAAAGAUUAUGCCUCGAGGUUGAGGAUAAAAAAGUAGUCCCAUACCAUAUGAUUAGAACAAAAAAAAGUUUACUACAGUGGAUUUUGUGGUUGCCACUACGUUAAAAGGGUAUCCCUGGCAAGUGGGAAGCAACAAAAGAAACUAAUCUGAUCGCCCGCACAAGCCGCAAUCCGAGGAAGAAACGCUUCUUCUCCUUUGUCCUAACGUACAUUUGCCUGAAUCAAACAGUUUCAGUGGUGGGAGAAAAUCGGGUACAGAGGGAUGCUAUUAAUUGUUACCCCAAGAACAGGUGACCAGUCACCAGAUCCAGAUAUCAAACUCUACUACUAAUCGUACAGGAAGCAGUACUAUAAAGUAGGGGCGAGAACGGUCGGAAACGGCGGUAUCUUUUCAUUUCUUUCAACCCGCUCUUCAUAAAAUUUAAGGUCCAAGGCAUCCCCCGUUCCCAUUCUCACACGCAGCAGCAGCAGCAGCAGCAGGAGCAGGAAGAAUAUGCCUUGCCUUGAUAUCUCUACCAACGUCAACCUAAAUGGAGUCGACCUAGACUCUGUCUUUUCUGAAGCCACCAAAACUGUCGCUGCAAUUAUGGGAAAACCCGAAACUGGGGAUAUUAGCAGACCACCAUGUCCUUUGAUGACGAGAAUGAGUGCGGUUGUUCUACAAGGUUCUGCGAAACACCACUUGUCUAUUAAUAACUUGCUCAAAUUUGCUAAGUGCGUCCUCAAUUGAAUUUACUUAAUUGUUUGUGAUGGUCCUGCUAAAGGGCUCGGUGCCGAUAUCUUUCGGCGGAAACAAAGAACCUGCUGCGCUUGGGGAGAUUAUAUCCAUGGGUGGAAUCAACAGGGAAGUCAAAAGGAAGCUGAUCGCGGCCAUCGGCACCAUCCUGGAGACCAAAUUGU
Coffea arabica (coffee) is the source of this 1118-nucleotide non-coding RNA. NCBI's taxonomy places the organism in Eukaryota, Viridiplantae, Streptophyta, Magnoliopsida, Gentianales, Rubiaceae. The record is from RefSeq and is a predicted model, not a curated record.